GAUGAACGCUAGCGGCAGGCCUAAUACAUGCAAGUCGGACGGGAUUCAGGAGCUUGCUUCUGAUGAGAGUGGCGCACGGGUGCGUAACACAUAUGUAACCUACCUUUAUCAGGGGGAUAGCCUCUCGAAAGAGAGAUUAAGCCCGCAUAAAAUCACAGCACAGCAUUGUGUAAUGAUCAAAUAUUUAUAGGAUAAAGAUGGGCAUGCGGAACAUUAGCUAGAUGGCGGGGUAACGGCCCACCAUGGCGACGAUGUUUAGGGGAUCUGAGAGGAUGGCCCCCCACACUGGUACUGAGACACGGACCAGACUCCUACGGGAGGCAGCAGUAAGGAAUAUUGGUCAAUGGGCGGAAGCCUGAACCAGCCAUGCCGCGUGCAGGAAGACGGCCCUACGGGUUGUAAACUGCUUUUAUACGGGAAUAAACCCAGAUACGUGUAUCUGGCUGAAUGUACUGUAAGAAUAAGGAUCGGCUAACUCCGUG
RNAcentral lists this ribosomal RNA (482 nucleotides) under uncultured bacterium. Its description in RNAcentral is "partial 16S ribosomal RNA". It matches the Rfam family "Bacterial small subunit ribosomal RNA", at positions 28 to 507 of the family's 1533-position model. The record is from RNAcentral.